RNAcentral lists this unclassified non-coding RNA (234 nucleotides) under uncultured fungus. RNAcentral's name for it is "sequence contains ITS1". The record is from RNAcentral. Lineage: Eukaryota; Fungi.
GUAUUGAUUGCGUGAUCGCAAAAACAAAAAAUACAUUCUACACUGCAUACAAAGUUUGUGUGAAAACGCAAGCCCCCCUCCGAACAAGCCGAAAGGGGGACCCACGCGGUGGUGCACAUAGGGGUGAGAUGGAUGGUGUGUGAGAGCACUCGGGCGUGCACGACAAAAAGUCAGCGACAGCCCUUGCGCCUCGGUUAUGCGAUAAUGAUCCUUCCGCAGGUUCACCUACGGAAA